Molecule: ribosomal RNA, 484 nt
Filed under: uncultured bacterium
Lineage: Bacteria
Description: partial 16S ribosomal RNA
Rfam family: Bacterial small subunit ribosomal RNA
Source: RNAcentral
AUUGAACGCUGGCGGCAGGCCUAACACAUGCAAGUCGAGCGGAUGAAGCGAGCUUGCUCCUGGAUUCAGCGGCGGACGGGUGCGUAAUGCCUAGGAAUCUGCCUGGUAGCUGGGGAUAACGUCCGGAAACGGGCGCUAAUACCGCAUACGUCCUGAGGGAGAAAGUGGGGGAUCUUCGGACCUCGCGCUAUCAGAUGAGCCUAGGUCGGAUUAGCUAGUUGGUGGGGUAAAGGCCUACCAAGGCGACGAUCCGUAACUGGUCUGAGAGGAUGAUCAGUCACACUGGAACUGAGACACGGUACAGACUACUACGGGAGGCAGCAGUGGGGAAUAUUGGACAAUGGGCGGAAGCCUGACCCAACCAUGCCGAGUGUGGGAAGAAGGUCUGCGGAUUGUAAAGCACUUUAAGUUGGGAGGAAGGGCAGUAAGUUAAUACCUUGCUGUUUUGACGGUACCAACAGAAUAAGCACCGGCUAACUUCGUG